CAGCCGCCUCGGUAAUACAGAGGGUGCAAGCGUUAAUCGGAAUUACUGGGCGUAAAGCGCGCGUAGGUGGUUUGUUAAGUUGGAUGUGAAAUCCCCGGGCUCAACCUGGGAACUGCAUCCAAAACUGGCAAGCUAGAGUAUGGUAGAGGGUGGUGGAAUUUCCUGUGUAGCGGUGAAAUGCGUAGAUAUAGGAAGGAACACCAGUGGCGAAGGCGACCACCUGGACUGAUACUGACACUGAGGUGCGAAAGCGUGGGGAGCAAACAGGAUUAGAUACCCCCGUAGUCCCUGUCUCUUAUAA
This 301-nucleotide ribosomal RNA is filed under the name uncultured bacterium. RNAcentral's name for it is "partial 16S ribosomal RNA". It matches the Rfam family "Bacterial small subunit ribosomal RNA", at positions 509 to 809 of the family's 1533-position model. The record is from RNAcentral.